Molecule: non-coding RNA, 61 nt
Filed under: Mycobacteroides abscessus subsp. abscessus
Lineage: Bacteria; Bacillati; Actinomycetota; Actinomycetes; Mycobacteriales; Mycobacteriaceae
Description: Mycobacterium sRNA Ms_IGR-8
Rfam family: Mycobacterium sRNA Ms_IGR-8 (bases 13-61)
Source: RNAcentral
CUGGCCUGAUACCGAGUGUGAAGCUAUUGCGAGAUUUCUCCGGAUUUCCCGCAAUAGCUUC